This 497-nucleotide ribosomal RNA is filed under the name uncultured bacterium. RNAcentral describes it as "partial 16S ribosomal RNA". It matches the Rfam family "Bacterial small subunit ribosomal RNA", at positions 28 to 507 of the family's 1533-position model. The record is from RNAcentral.
GAUGAACGCUGGCGGCGUGCCUAAUACAUGCAAGUCGAGCGAACAGACGAGGAGCUUGUUCCUCUGACGUUAGCGGCGGACGGGUGAGUAACACGUGGAUAACCUACCUAUAAGACUGGGAUAACUUCGGGAAACCGGAGCUAAUACCGGAUAAUAUAUUGAACCGCAUGGUUCAAUAGUGAAAGACGGUUUUGCUGUCACUUAUAGAUGGAUCCGCGCCGCAUUAGCUAGUUGGUAAGGUAACGGCUUACCGAGGCAACGAUGCGUAGCCGACCUGAGAGGGUGAUCGGCCACACUGGAACUGAGACACGGUCCAGACUCCUACGGGAGGCAGCAGUAGGGAAUCUUCCGCAAUGGGCGAAAGCCUGACGGAGCAACGCCGCGUGAGUGAUGAAGGUCUUCGGAUCGUAAAACUCUGUUAUUAGGGAAGAACAAAUGUGUAAGUAACUAUGCACGUCUUGACGGUACCUAAUCAGAAAGCCACGGCUAACUACGUG